GGGGGGGGGGGGGGGGGGGGGUGGGGGGUGGGGGGCGGGCGGAGGGGCGGGGGGCGUGGUUGUCUGGUGGGAGCGGCGGACGGGUGGGUAGCGCGUGGCUAACCUACCUAUAAGGCUGGGGUAACUUCGGGAAACCGGGGCUCCUACCGGGUACUAUUUUUAACCUCCUUUUUCCACCUUGCACGACGUUCUUUCUUUCACUUAUAGUUUGCUCCUCGCUGCAUUAGCUAGUUGGUAAGUUAACGUCUUACCAAGGCAACGAUUCAUAGCCGACCUGAGAGGGUGAUCGGCCACACUGGAACUGAGACACGGUCCAGAAUCCUACGGGAGGCAGCAGUAGGGAAUCUUCCGAAAUGGGCGAAAGCCUGACGGAGCAACGCCGCGUGAGUGAUGAAGGUCUUCGGAUCGUAAAACUCUGUUAUUAGGGAAGAACAUAUGUGUAAGUAACUGUGCACAUCUGGACGGUACCUAAUCAGAAAGCCACGGCUAACUACGUG
This 497-nucleotide ribosomal RNA is filed under the name uncultured bacterium. RNAcentral describes it as "partial 16S ribosomal RNA". It matches the Rfam family "Bacterial small subunit ribosomal RNA", at positions 27 to 507 of the family's 1533-position model. The record is from RNAcentral.